Molecule: long non-coding RNA, 1386 nt
Organism: Mesocricetus auratus (golden hamster)
Lineage: Eukaryota; Metazoa; Chordata; Mammalia; Rodentia; Cricetidae
Exons: 2
Source: RefSeq, a predicted model, not a curated record
CCCAGCGGGGUCUCCCUGCCGGGCUGUGCGCUAGUAGCCGGAGCCCUCGGCGGAGCGGGACCGGACUGCGACCUUUGGCGGGGCUCGGGGCGCCAGGAAGGGUGCGCAGGCGCCGAGGGGUUGGACACAGGUGCAGACUCGGCACUCGAAGCCCUGGACUCCCUCAGACUCUCUCCUCUGUCUUCUCCCCCAGACGCCCAUCUCUCCCGAUCCCCCUCGCUGCCCCUACUGCCCUGCGUCUGCAACCCAGGGGUUCGGGGUGCCCUCGGUGAGGUAGCUGCGCCUCCUCCGGAGUUAGCCCUGGCUGGAGUAAGCCUGGAGGAGGGAUGGAGCCCGAAGACUGAAGGCCCUGGAGGAGAACCGUUGUCAACCGACAAGCACCAGCGGGGCUCCUAGGAGAAAAGUUCGAAGCCCUCUCGAUUUGCCUGAUGGAGACCACAGCACGCCUGGAACGAGUAUUCAGUGCAGACCACCUUGGGUUCGACUCCUCAAACUACAGUCAGAGGCUGCGCCUCCUGGACCGGCCCUCGGGACAGACUCAACACACAGAACGAGUUCGAGUUCGUAGUCGGCUUUCGGGCACCAGGUGUGCACUACCUAGCGUCGGUAUGGGACCCCUCAGAGGCUCUGCAGAGUGGUCCUUGCCCGAGAUGUUCCCACAGCCCUCAAAGCUGCGCCAGCGUCGCCGCCAGCGGCUCUGCGAGAGAGGCGGGCUGGUGCAGACUGAUUCCCCCUCUCACUCGGAAGCCUGACCACGAACCAGGCCGAUUGCUUGGUGCAGGUUGGGGACAAAGAUGGAACACCAAGCAAGACUUUGGGACUGGUUGGGAAGAGGAAAGCCCAGCACACCGCGCCCUCUCCAAGUUCUUUCCGGACGGUGCAAGUACCCCCAUUCGUUUCAGUAUCGGAAGUUAGAUGCAGAGGUUGGGAGCUAUGAACUGGACCAAACCACACCAGGUCCUGUUCUGCUUUCAGAAUUCGACAGCGAUAUAGUGAUGCGCGGGGGCGCUGGGUGCAGACAGAACAACCAACCUCCUGAAUGAGAGGGGGAGGGGGAGCCCUGUAGGGCAGAGGACUUGGGGUGCCGCGUGGGUAAGGAACGGGCACUUUGGGGGAGCCAGCGCGGUCUGAAGUCCAGUUGGUGCCCUAUCCCGCAGAUGUCUGGCGGGACUGCCAUCCCGGGUGAACCAAGGACGACUAAGUUCACACUCGAACACAGGACCUCCAGGAAGGCGAGCUGAUACACAUGCCUACGAUUUCGUUUCGAGCAGCACCUGAGCAGCUCGAGGUCACGCUGCAGGUGGUCGCUCUCUCUCAACGAAACCUCAAAGCAAACCUAUAUGUAUACUUCUACACUACAUAGAAAAUAAAUUGUAAUAGAUACUA